UAUACUGCUACUGUCAUGCAGAUUUUAAAUACUAAUUUUUUAUUUACUUGUAUUUUUCUCUUUACAUGUUCUCCUGGCCUUUGGGAAGACACUCUUCUUAAAAGUUACUUACCAGUAAAAUAUAAAAAAUCACAAUGGAAACAACUCGGAAGAAGAGUUAGGAGAUUAGAACAUUCACUUAAGGGACUACAGGAAAAAUUAUCAGAAAGAAGAAAAACUAAAUCCCCACUAAGGCAUCAAAAAGUGAAAUGUGAUAGAGAACUCUAUGGAGACAGAUUGGAAGGUGAAAAACAAAGUAGAGAGAGACUACAGACAGAAAUUAAUUACCCUAAUUACCCUACCUGUGCAAAUUCUGCCACAUUUCAUCAGGAAUCUCAGACAAUAAAACUAAACUUUCAGCAAGCACGAGACCAGUGGCUUCUUUUAAAGAACCAACUAAUAGAGAAGAUUGACAAACUGUCAAGUCAGCUUUCUAAAGUUGAAAAGGAGAAAAACCAACUAUGUGAAACCCUUAAAAUGACAACAUUAAUAUUAGAAGAAACACAGAGAAAAUUAAAGAAGAACAAGGAUAAAAUAAAAGAACUUAAAUACAAAAAUCAUAUACUAAAGAAAAAAUCAAACAGAUCAUUUUUCACAAAAGAGUCCAGGCAAGAAUUAACCCAAAUGCCAAGGGAAAUUCAUGUGCUUCAACAACCAUUUGAAGAUGCCCAAAAUGAAGGGGUCUUCAAAAUACAGGUAUCCGAUGAUAUCCAGGUGAAGUUUAACGAUCGUUCCAAUACUCUUAUUGCUAGCAUUAAAAAACAAGAUCAUGUGGAAAAAGAGAGAAAAAAGAAAGAGGAAGAAGAGUCAGCUGAUGAAUAUUUGCAUAUAAUGGAACAAAUAUAUAAAAAUGAACAGGCAAGAGAAGAGGUAGGUCUAAUAUCUAAUAAAUAAUAUCAUCACCAACAUUUAACAUUUUGAAAUGAAAUUUCUAAGGUAUUUUGAUCAAGAUAAAUUAGGAAUUUGAAUUUUUAGCAAGUUUCUGAUAUUAGUAAUUUUCAAGGUAAAAAUUCUGAUAUGCAAGAAAGAAUGAGGAAACAUCCAUGAUAAAACUCAACCCAAUAUCCAUUUUUAGAUAAGAUGACUCAUUAUGAUUAAAAAGUAUUGUGUAGAUAGCCCAUGAAAGUUUAAAUGAACGGUAUUGGUUAAUGAAUGUAGGUAGAGUUAAGCAUUUUAAGUAAAUAUUGAUAAAUUUGUAGUUCUAAUAAUUUGCCUGGUAUUCCAUUUAAUGCUACAAAUGGAAUAAAUAUUAGAAAUGCUGAAACAAGAUAAAUCCUGAAAAAUUAUGUGAGGAGAAAUGUAACAAUUCAAAUAAAUUAGUCAUGCAAAUUGAGAUCCUGUAGGGCAUUAUAAUUACCUUUUCCAUACCUAUUAAAACAUGUUUGUCAAUCUAACUAGUUUUAAUUCAAACUACUGUGAACUGAUUUUAGAAAUAUUAAACAGCUGAUCAUAUUUUUAGUGAAAUUACAAAGAUUAGUAACUACUUUUAUUUAAAAUUUAGGACAAUAAAGAAAAAAUAAUUUUUUUGUUUGGUAACAAAGCCAUU
Long non-coding RNA from Sarcophilus harrisii (Tasmanian devil), 1585 nucleotides. Lineage: Eukaryota; Metazoa; Chordata; Mammalia; Dasyuromorphia; Dasyuridae. The record is from Ensembl.